AACGAACGCUGGCGGCAGGCUUAACACAUGCAAGUCGAACGGUUGUAGCAAUACAGCAGUGGCAGACGGGUGAGUAACACGUGGGAACCUUCCUAGGGGUACGGAACAACUCAGGGAAACUUGAGCUAAUACCGUAUACGUCCGUGAGGAGAAAGAUUUAUCGCCCCUAGACGGGCCCGCGUAGGAUUAGGUAGUUGGUGAGGUAACGGCUCACCAAGCCUACGAUCCUUAGCUGAUCNGAGAGGAUGAUCAGCCACACUGGGAC
Molecule: ribosomal RNA, 265 nt
Filed under: uncultured bacterium
Lineage: Bacteria
Description: partial 16S ribosomal RNA
Rfam family: Bacterial small subunit ribosomal RNA
Source: RNAcentral